UUAAUUGAUGAUCUAUUUUAUAUCGACCGGGCGGACAUACUAGUAUCCAAUAAUUAUAUAAAGGCAUUUCUGUGUACAAAUUUUGAAGUGCUGGUUAUUGGAGAAUUGAUGAAUGGUCAUUAGAUAUCUGAUA
Molecule: small nucleolar RNA, 133 nt
Organism: Hanseniaspora valbyensis NRRL Y-1626
Lineage: Eukaryota; Fungi; Ascomycota; Saccharomycetes; Saccharomycodales; Saccharomycodaceae
Rfam family: Small nucleolar RNA snR70
Source: Rfam